CCAGAGAACUUUCCAGAGAUGGAUUGGUGCCUUCGGGAACUCUGAGACAGGUGCUGCAUGGCUGUCGUCAGCUCGUGUUGUGAAAUGUUGGGUUAAGUCCCGCAACGAGCGCAACCCUUUAUCCUUUUGUUGCCAGCGGUUAGGCCGGGAACUCAAAGGAGACUGCCAGUGAUAAACUGGAGGAAGGUGGGGAUGACGUCAAGUCAUCAUGGCCCUUACGAGUAGGGCUACACACGUGCUACAAUGGCGCAUACAAAGAGAAGCGACCUCGCGAGAGCAAGCGGACCUCAUAAAGUGCGUCGUAGUCCGGAUUGGAGUCUGCAACUCGACUCCAUGAAGUCGGAAUCGCUAGUAAUCGUGGAUCAGAAUGCCACGGUGAAUACGUUCCCGGGCCUUGUACACACCGCCCGUCACACCAUGGGAGUGGGUUGCAAAAGAAGUAGGUAGCUUAACCUUCGGGAGGGCGCUUACCACUUUGUGAUUCAUGACUGGGGUGAAGUCGUAACAAGGUAGGCGUAGUGCU
Molecule: ribosomal RNA, 523 nt
Filed under: uncultured bacterium
Lineage: Bacteria
Description: bacterial SSU rRNA
Rfam family: Bacterial small subunit ribosomal RNA
Source: RNAcentral